GCUUGUCUCAAAGAUUAAGCCAUGCAUGUGUUAGUAUAAACGCCUUUAUACUGUGAAACUGCGAACGGCUCAUUAUAUCAGUUAUAGUUUAUUUGAUACUUUUCGACUAUUGGAUAACCGUAGUAAUUCUAGAGCUAAUACAUGCGCCAAGUCCCGUCUUACGUCGGGAUGUAUUUAUUAGAUUUCAAUCAACACUUUUUGCUGACUCAUGAUAACUUAGCGGAUCGCAGAGGCCUCGCGCCGGCGACAAAUCAUUCAAGUUUCUGCCCUAUCAGCUUUCGAUGGUAGUGUAUUGGACUACCAUGGCAUUCACGGGUAACGGAGGAUUAGGGUUCGAUUCCGGAGAGGGAGCCUGAGAAAUGGCUACCACAUCCAAGGAAGGCAGCAGG
Molecule: ribosomal RNA, 389 nt
Filed under: uncultured marine stramenopile
Lineage: Eukaryota
Description: partial small subunit ribosomal RNA
Rfam family: Eukaryotic small subunit ribosomal RNA
Source: RNAcentral